GGCCGGGAACUCAAAGGAGACUGCCAGUGAUAAACUGGAGGAAGGUGGGGAUGACGUCAAGUCAUCAUGGCCCUUACGAGUAGGGCUACACACGUGCUACAAUGGCAUAUACAAAGAGAAGCGACCUCGCGAGAGCAAGCGGACCUCAUAAAGUAUGUCGUAGUCCGGAUUGGAGUCUGCAACUCGACUCCAUGAAGUCGGAAUCGCUAGUAAUCGUGGAUCAGAAUGCCACGGUGAAUACGUUCCCGGGCCUUGUACACACCGCCCGUCACACCAUGGGAGUGGGUUGCAAAAGAAGUAGGUAGCUUAACCUUCGGGAGGGCGCUUACCACUUUGUGAUUCAUGACUGGGGUGAAGUCGUAACAAGGUAACCGUAGGGGAACCUGCGGUUGGAUCACCUCCUUA
This 405-nucleotide ribosomal RNA is filed under the name Citrobacter freundii. RNAcentral's name for it is "bacterial SSU rRNA". It matches the Rfam family "Bacterial small subunit ribosomal RNA", at positions 1129 to 1533 of the family's 1533-position model. RNAcentral also lists the same sequence under 5 other names. Lineage: Bacteria; Pseudomonadati; Pseudomonadota; Gammaproteobacteria; Enterobacterales; Enterobacteriaceae. The record is from RNAcentral.